This is a long non-coding RNA of Amphimedon queenslandica, 288 nucleotides long. RefSeq lists it as uncharacterized. Lineage: Eukaryota; Metazoa; Porifera; Demospongiae; Haplosclerida; Niphatidae. The record is from RefSeq and is a predicted model, not a curated record. The transcript has 2 exons.
AAAGAGUUCUGUUUAGUAUCUGUUGUUGGGGAGAAAGGUCUACCCAAAUCAUCAACUAAUGGAGACAAGUCAGAGGAAGAGGAGGAGGAGCAAGAGGAACAAGCAGAAGAGGAAACUGAGGAGGAAGUGGAAGACGGUAAUAGUGAUUCAUCCAGUGAUUCUGAUAAGACUAACGAUCCACCAGGAGGUAGGAGUGGAGGACAAGGAGAGUCUACUAGUAAUGAGGGAGUAGAGGAAGAGGGGGAGACCGGAGGUGAGCCAUUACAUGAGGAAGGAAAUGAAGAGCAA